ACACUCCUACGGGAGGCAGCAGUGGGGAAUAUUGCACAAUGGGCGCAAGCCUGAUGCAGCGACGCCGCGUGGGGGAUGAAGGCCUUCGGGUUGUAAACUCCUUUCGCUAGGGACGAAGCUUUUUUGUGACGGUACCUAGAUAAGAAGCACCGGCUAACUACGUGCCAGCAGCCGCGGUAAUACGUAGGGUGCGAGCGUUGUCCGGAAUUACUGGGCGUAAAGGGCUCGUAGGUGGUUUGUCGCGUCGUCUGUGAAAUUCUGGGGCUUAACUCCGGGCGUGCAGGCGAUACGGGCAUAACUUGAGUGCUGUAGGGGUAACUGGAAUUCCUGGUGUAGCGGUGAAAUGCGCAGAUAUCAGGAGGAACACCGAUGGCGAAGGCAGGUUACUGGGCAGUUACUGACGCUGAGGAGCGAAAGCAUGGGUAGCGAACAGGAUUAGAAACCCCGGUAGUCC
RNAcentral lists this ribosomal RNA (454 nucleotides) under uncultured organism. RNAcentral describes it as "partial 16S ribosomal RNA". It matches the Rfam family "Bacterial small subunit ribosomal RNA", at positions 333 to 796 of the family's 1533-position model. The record is from RNAcentral.